This 314-nucleotide unclassified non-coding RNA is filed under the name uncultured Tomentella. Its description in RNAcentral is "sequence contains 5.8S rRNA gene". Lineage: Eukaryota; Fungi; Basidiomycota; Agaricomycetes; Thelephorales; Thelephoraceae. The record is from RNAcentral.
GAACGCACCUUGCGCCCUUUGGCUAUUCUGAAGGGCAUGCCUGUUUGAGUAUCAUGAACACCUCAACUCUCGUGGUCUGCCACGAUGAGCUUGGACUUUGGGGGUCUUGCCGGCCUAGCGUCGGCUCCUCUCAAAUGGAUCAGCUUGCCAGUGUUUGGUGGCGUCACAGGUGUGAUAACUAUCUACGCUUGUGGUUUUCUACCAUGUAACCUUCAGUGAUGGAGGUUCGCUGGGGCUCACAGAUGUCUCUCCUUGGAGAGGACAGCUUUUUGAACGUUUGAUCUCAAAUCAGGUAGGACUACCCGCUGAACUUA